RNAcentral lists this unclassified non-coding RNA (960 nucleotides) under Hevea brasiliensis (rubber tree). The record is from RNAcentral. Lineage: Eukaryota; Viridiplantae; Streptophyta; Magnoliopsida; Malpighiales; Euphorbiaceae.
CAAUGGCAAGUAAAGGAUCUCCUCUUCAUGGUCCGCGCAUAAAGCUUAUUGAAAAGGCCCAAAACCUUUUCUCAGAGACUAAGGAACAUACCUUCGAGUCAAAAGCUGCUGAAGAGCAUGCAAAAUUGUUAAGAAUUCAACAUGAGUUAGAAGUGUCUACAAAGCAGGCUAUUUUUGUUGAUUCAAGUAUCAGUGAUACUAUUAGGACAUGCAUUGUAUUAGGAAAUCAUCGAGCUGCAAUGAAAGUGAAAACAGAGUUUAAGGUUUCUGAGAAGAGAUGGUAUUGGCUUAAAGUUUUCGCUUUGGCAACAAUUAGAGAUUGGGAUGCCCUGGAAAAGUUUUCCAAGGAGAAGAGGCCACCAAUUGGUUAUAGACCAUUUGUGGAAGCAUGCAUUGAUGCUGAUGAAAAAGGGGAAGCUCUGAAAUAUAUUCCAAAACUUGGGGAUCCUAGAGAAAGAGCUGAGGCUUAUGCUCGGAUUGGCAUGGCAAAGGAAGCUGCUGAUGCUGCUUCCCAAGCAAAAGAUGGGGAAUUGCUUGGACGAUUGAAAUUGAGUUUUGCACAAAACACAGCAGCAUCAUCAAUUUUUGAUACUCUCCGAGAUCGGCUGUCCUUCCAAGGCGUUUCUUAGUCAGAUGUAUCUUUUCUUCAUGUUGGAUGUUUUAUGUGUGCAUAUCAUGUGCUUAUUCUUGGGUUAAUUUCGAAGAUGGGUUUCCUUGUGGGCAUUUUCGUUUGUGCAGUAUUUACCUAUAGUUUCAAUUGAGAUUUUGCUUUCUGAUGCUCUUAUGUUUGCUGAAACACUCUUGAUUUCUUGAGUCAUGUAUGUUAGGGGAAAUUAUACAGCACAUUGGUAGCACUAAAAAAUAGUGGACCAUUAGAUAUAAAUAUUUAACUUUUUUUUUUUUUACAUGGAUCCCACAUUCCAUAAACAAGGAAAAGUUAAAUAUUUAUAUCUAAUGGUC